GACGAACGCUGGCGGCGUGCUUAACACAUGCGAGUCGAACGGAAAGGCCCUGCUUGCCGGGUACUCGAGUGGCGAACGGGUGAGUAACACGUGGGUGAUCUGCCCUGCACUUCGGGAUAAGCUUGGGAAACUGGGUCUAAUACCGGAUAGGAGCCAUCUUUAGUGUGGUGGUUGGAAAGUUUUUUCGGUGUAGGAUGAGCUCGCGGCCUAUCAGCUUGUUGGUGGGGUAAUGGCCUACCAAGGCGGCGACGGGUAGCCGGCCUGAGAGGGUGUACGGCCACAUUGGGACUGAGAUACGGCCCAGACUCCUACGGGAGGCAGCAGUGGGGAAUAUUGCACAAUGGGCGCAAGCCUGAUGCAGCGACGCCGCGUGGGGGAUGAAGGCCUUCGGGUUGUAAACUCCUUUCGCUAGGGACGAAGCUUUUUUGUGACGGUACCUAGAUAAGAAGCACCGGCUAACUACGUG
Molecule: ribosomal RNA, 466 nt
Filed under: uncultured bacterium
Lineage: Bacteria
Description: partial 16S ribosomal RNA
Rfam family: Bacterial small subunit ribosomal RNA
Source: RNAcentral